This is a non-coding RNA of Daphnia carinata, 65 nucleotides long. NCBI's taxonomy places the organism in Eukaryota, Metazoa, Arthropoda, Branchiopoda, Diplostraca, Daphniidae. The record is from the annotation of a RefSeq genome assembly.
AGUUUAAUGGCUGAGUUUAAGCAUUAGAUUGUAAAUCUAAUUACGAGAAUAUUUCUCUUAAACUA